CUGGGCAAAAAAAAAAUAUGAUCAUCACAAUAAUAUUAGGUCUUGGAACCAUGACUUAUUACAUAAUCAGUUUAUUCACUCUACAUAAAGCAGCGGACUCACAAAGACACAUGCAUAUUGGAUACUACAUUAUAUGGAAGGCGUGCAUGCAUCCGUAACCGAUCACACCCUUAGCUGCACCUGGGGCUCUGCACGAAGUUGCUAACCGGAAAUGACUGGUCGAACGUGGCUGCAUGCUCACUACCAGUAAACCUCAGCUUGUCACCGACGCGUUGAACCGUGUGGAAUGCGAGAAAAUCCCACUCAAAUUGGAUCCUCACGCCACCCAGUUGAGUUAUGGAUCCGGGCCGGAUAACACCACUGACUAUGCUGUCAAACCGAAUCUUGUGUGAUCCACCGGCAACCGUAACAUUGAAGUCGCAGGAGGCGGGGAGUGUCACCUCAACGGCGCCCCCAUGGUUCACGUACGACUUCACACCCUGAGGCAGGAGAGCCCGCGGGAAGUUGUUUUUCUCCAAAAGGUCGUACGCUGUGUCGGAGGUGGCUGCUUGGAGGACAGAAGCCAGGAAGACGAUGAGGAGCAGAUGCUGGAUGGCCAUGGCUAGCUAACUGUUGUUGCUUACAAAUUGUAUCAAGGAAUAUGAGGAACUGGGAAGUAUGUGUAGACUGAGGCCCUGGCCACGUAUUAUAUAUGCUGCCCAACGAAAUCAAAGUCAAUCGUACUUUAAUUGCAUUUAUUUUGUUCCUGAUUAUCACUCCAUCAACCACCUCAUCAAAUAUGCUAAAAAUAUCAUCCCAUUAAAUCAUAUUUAUUUCUGGCCUAGAACAUUCUAUAGUUAAUGGUUAUGCCAAAACGUUCCUCAAAUAUUCAUAAUCAAUACGUACCAUAAAAUGAGACUGAAAUUUCAGAGCAACAUUCAUUUACGUACUUCACAGCCGACAUAUGAAACAUAUGCAAAAACCUAAAAAUGAAUCAAGGGGAAACAUCAACAUCCAAACAGUUUGAUCCUUGAUGUUGGCUUGGGUACCAAUGAGGCUUCUCUUCUCUUCAAAUAAUGUUGUGCAGUGCAACUAAAACAUAAAACACCCGCAAGAAAGAAAUAUUUCAUUUAGAUAUACUUGAGUUUUACAUGAGUAUGCGGUGCAAUAGAAUGAUUAUCUCCCAUUGUGCAGAUCAUCUCUUUCAGGAUGCCUACUCAGGCCAGCACAGACUCAUACAUGACAUCUCCGUGAAAGUUUCCACAAUGUUAUAGCAUGAACUCCCAGACCGUGAGAGAGGCUCAGUACCCAUAUCCAAAAUGAAGAGUGCGGAGGAGCAGGUGCCUACCCCUCCACCUUCCACUUCUCUUAAAAUUUUCCUGUGCAAUGCAACUAAACUAAAAAACAACUCCAAGCAAUAUAUUCAAUUUAUAUCUUGUUGGGUUAUGAUACGUCUCCAACGUAUUUAUAUAUUUUUUAUUGUUCCAUGCUAUUAUAAUUGUUGGGUCAUGAGCCGAAAGCAAGCCAUCGAACAUGCCAGUGUUGGAUUGGAUGAGAUUGUCGACCGCCUGAAGGAGGUUCUCAUCGUGAUCCUUGAAGAGCCGGUCCAGACCUACGGUGAAAUACGCUCGUUGAAGCGCGUACACGCCACACCUUUCCUCGGACGGCUUGUCCAUCGCCUCCGCUCACGGCCGAUCACGCCACCGCGUCCCGUGAUGGUGUCACGGCAACUCCAGGACCACUUAAUCUUAUACCAAUUGUGAGCAACUCACCUGAUCGAGAGGAAUUGCUAGGGAUUAGAAUUCGAAAUUGCGGAAAUUGGUUUGUUAGCUAGACGUCCGUCCACCCUCACAGCUACACUACACCGCAUGUUGCCAUCAUCCAAAUCCCAGCCAGGAGAUAGGAGAGAAGUAUAAUGCCUACUAGCUUAGCCCGCGCGGCAACACGCCGCGCCCAUCGAUCAGUCACGACUAUGUAGACUAUGGUCCAAGCAAUAGAGUAAUAAGUAGUUAUGAUGAAAUUUGUUGCAUAACUUGAGGCUUUUUAGCAAAUUCUUUUGUUCACAACAAUUUAUAGACACAAAUAUCUAUCUUUCAUGGAAACUUUUAGUUUAUUUUGUACAUAGCAAGGGUCUGUCCACCAAGUUGAAACAAAUACACAACAUGACCAAAAGUAAGGAACUUCGGAACAGUGCUUUCGUAGCUAAAAUUUAAUAAUUUUUCACAUUUCAUAACAUAAAUACUUAACUAAAACUUACAUCUGAUCUGAAGUACAACCAUUGAGACAGUAAAAAAACCACUAUUUUGAUCAUCACAAAAAAAUUAAUGUGCAUUUCAUGGAAAAAGUUUAGAGACAAAAUAAUUUAGCCAAGAGAAAAACUAUUUCAGAUCACAAAAGGCGCUCCAAAGAGUAAUUGUGUAUAUUAUUCAAAAGAACACUUUGUUACCUUCAGGCUUUAAUUAGCCCCAUUGUAUCUUGUGGAAUCAUGCAGUGAUACAAAUUCUUACCAUAAACAAAAAAAUUAAGCAGCUCUUAAUAUAGAAACAACCAUAUCACUCUGAAUCAAGGGAGCAUGAUGCGAUGAACUGAUGACGGGGAAUCUAUGGUAGCAUAUACCCAGGAAACAGUGUUCAUGGAAACUUUGUUAAACAACCCCUUGCUCAGCUUAAAAGUAUUCCUUCCUGGGUCUCCACUGAAACAAAACAAUAUUUAUACACCCACAGGUGAGAACAAUAUGAGAUUGUUUGAUAUAAAACCAACAAUGCUUGAACAUACUUGUUUCUCUACCUCACCAUGUGGCAACCAGAAAAAGCUUUAACAAAUUAAAAACCACUUGCAAAGUGAAGUUGAGAGCCUUCACUUAUUUCUCAAAAUGGAAGGAGGAAGGGGCCUUAAUUUGUCCCAGUAACCCCAUGAAUAUAAUUAGCCAAAUAUGUGGCAUUUCAUCUUAUUACAUGGUCAUGCUGAAGGAGGGAACAUCAAUAAAAUUAGGCAUAAGAAAUCCAUCAAAUGAAGAGAGAUGUACUUAGAAAUAAGAAUAACAAACAUUCUCAGAUACUGCUUUCUGCCACGGAUGGCUCUCCUUCUUCGGAUGCUGCUUUUUAUCGGUCUGUCGUUGGUGCUCUUCAGUACCUUACUCUGACUCGACCGGAGAUCCAGUAUGCCGUGCAACAUGUGUGUCUUCAUAUGCAUGCUCCUCGAGACAUUCACUGGGCUGCCGUCAAGCGGAUUCUCCGCUAUAUCUGUGGCACUAUGGAUCUUGGCGUCACGCUUCACGCCUCCGCCGACACCGCCCUGCGUACUCCGAUGCAGACUGGGCGGGCUGCCCUGACACUCGUCGUUCCACUUCGGGCUACUGUGUCUACCUUGGACCCUCACUUAUCUCGUGGUCGUCCAAGCGGCAGCCUACGGUCUCUCGUUCUAGUGCUGAGGCUGAGUAUCGUGCGGUGGCCAACGCCGUCGCCGAGUGUUCGUGGCUUCGCCAGCUGCUUCAGGAGCUCUCUUGUCCUGUUGACCGUGCCACGGUGGUCUACCGCGACAACGUCUCGGCGGUCUACCUCUCCGCUAACCCGGUGCAUCAUCGACGGACCAAACAUAUUGAGUUGGAUAUUCAUUUUGUUCGGGAACAGGUGGCCCUUGGCCAUAUUCGUGUUUUACACGUCCAUACUUCCCAACAAUUNNNNNNNNNNNNNNNNNNNNNNNNNNNNNNNNNNNNNNNNNNNNNNNNNNNNNNNNNNNNNNNNNNNNNNNNNNNNNNNNNNNNNNNNNNNNNNNNNNNNNNNNNNNNNNNNNNNNNNNNNNNNNNNNNNNNNNNNNNNNNNNNNNNNNNNNNNNNNNNNNNNNNNNNNNNNNNNNNNNNNNNNNNNNNNNNNNNNNNNNNNNNNNNNNNAGUAUAUGUGUUAUGUGCAUAUUGCGUAUUGGGCCCGCCUUCUAGUUCAUUGUAUAGUUGAGGUCCGUGGCCCAUCUUCGUACAUCAUAUAUACGUGCCUAUGCAUGAAGAGUAAUACAUCGUGCAAUUGCCACAACUCACAAUGUUGAACACGCCACUCCUCAAGAUCGUUGCAGCCUCGCUGCACCAGCGUCGUGAUUUUUCUGGCAAGCCGUUGGUCCCUGAUAUCAGCUGACGUUAGCUGACACAAGGGUCCCACUACGGCCGCCAUCGCUUGCCCCUUUGUUGUCGAUGCCAGGUGGGCCACUCACUUCAGCUCCUUCUCCAAGCCAGCCAGUUAAUCAGGUCACAAAACCAGCCAUGGAGCACCCCACCGAAUCCAGCCAAUCAGGUAUAGAACCUGUUGGCAUAAGCCAUGCCAUGUGCGGUGGCGACUGGCGUUGGGCGCGCCAGGUGUGUGUCCGUGUAUGCGUGGGAGAGGCCACCCGAGUCGUGUGUGCUGUGACAGUUCGUGCAUGCAUGUAGCUGGAUUAGUGGUCGCAGGUGGUGACCAAGCCACACGGGUCAUACGUGCAUCUAGUCUAGGUAGUUAGUAUAAGGAUGCAUGCAUUGGUUAGCGUGUUAGACGGCCAGUGGUGGUUGCCCUGUUUGGUUCAUAAGUCCUACGAUUUUUGUAGUCCCAACUUAUAAGUUUCAAGUCCCUAAAAAGUCCCUACCUGUUUGGUUCCUGCGACUUAUAAGUCCCUAUAAGACCAUAUUACAACUAUAAGACCCUAUAAGUUCCUCCUUAAAAGUCUUAUUUCAUAAGUCCCAAAUGCCCACUUUAAGUCCCUAUAAGUCCCUCCUGUUUGGUUUAGAUGGGACUUACAAGGACUUUUUUAAGUCUCUUGUAACGUCCCGGAUACAACUUUCCAUAUUCGUAACUCCAACUCUUGCCUUUUCCGGAGAUGCGAUAUGAUAUUUCCUUCGUGGUUGGGUUUUGUCUGUUGUUUUGCAUUUUGUUCUUGUUAUGCAUCUCAUCUCAUGUCAUCAUUCGCAUUGCAUCGGCAUUGUUUUUAUAAAACUUGCAUCCGUCCGAGUUCUCCCGGUUCUCUCCGUUGUCCGUUCUGAGCACAGACACACUCGCACGCGCCCGCGGCACCUCCGAAAUAUUAUUUUAUAAGUGGCAUAAAAAUGUUCUCGGAAUGGAUGCAACUUGGCGUGCGGUCUUAUUAUAGUGUAGACAGACCGCCUGUCAAGUUUCGUCGCAUUCGGAGUCCGUUUGACUGCCCAACCGUUAAACAUAUAGCGGCACCGUUGCCGGUGUUUUCGCCGGACGUUUCGGUCUCCGGAAUAGUUGCCGGGCCUCACUUCUCUUCUCUCCUCUCAGUCGAGGCCUCUCUUCACAGCCCACCUAGACCCCCUAUGUCCGGAGCUGCACGAUCGCGAUCGUACGGCUCGAAAACCCCUCCAAACCCUAAUCUUAACCUCCUGCCCUAUUUAAACCACCUUCCCCUUCCAAUUUUGGCAGCCUCCCCCCUCCUCCUCUUUUUCCGCACCACCCAACCCGCAGCCACCUCCUCCCACCUCGGGGGCCGCGCCGCCGCCUUCCCCCCUUCCAGAUCCGGCGCACCCCAGCGUCCCUCCGCCACUUGUCAAGCCCCUAGUGGCCAGCCACCGCCACAUCGUCGCCUCCAGCCACUCUGGGAGCGCCACAUGGCCUCGCCGCGUCCUCCUCGCCGCCGAGGCCCGCGGAAGCCCGCAACCGGACCACCCCGGGCCGCAUCUGGCCUCGGCGCGCCCACUCCCCCGCAACCGUGCCGUCUCCCCGCUCGCCCGAGCGAUCCAGAUCGGGAGAGGAGCUCCCGAUCCAGAUCGUGCCUCGCCGCCGCCUCUGGCCGAAGCCAUCUCGCGGCCGUCUCGCCGCCCCGGCGGACCCAGGUCACUGCCGCCCGGUCUCUCUCUCCCUUCCCUUUAUCCUUCCUCCCCUCACCAGCUCUCUCUCCCCCGCAGCUAGCCGCCGCCGCCAUGAACGCCUCCACCGAGCUCCGCCGUGGGCAUCACCACCUCACCGCCGGCCUCCUUCCGCCAGAUCCUGGCAGGGGAUGGUCGGAUCCAUCCAUCCCCAACCUCCCGCCGACCCCUACAUCGCCGGAGCGCUGCCCCGCCGCCGGUCUCCACCACGUCGACCUCCUUCCUCGUCCUCGUUCGAGCAGAGGACGAGGGCAUCCUCCUCGCGCACGUGGGCCAGCGCGUCGCCCUGCUGGUGGGUCACCCCACCUCCAAGGCCCACGUCGCCUCGGCUCAGCCCCGACCGGCCUCAAGGCCCGAUGUGAGCAGCUCCCCCACGCCUGGGCCAGAUCUCAGAUUCGGCCCAGGGUAGUUUUUUUUCCGUUCUGCGAUUUGCUAAUUAUCCAGAGUUUGCAUAUUUACAGAUUAACCCUCCAUGUUCAUGCAUAUAAUAACUCAUGAACCGUGCAUCGGAUUUAAAUAAUUUAUAUAUGUAAAAUGCUUAGAAUUUUGUGUAGAUUAAUAAUAUGCUGCUUGCAUCCAUGUUUAAAAUGUUGUUUGCAUUUAAUUUGCUCAAAUUCCAUGCUAAAAUGAUUUAUUUCAUAACUAAAUAACCGUAGCUCGGAAUUUAAUAAACUUUAUAUGUAAAUGGGGUUGAAAAAUGCCUAGAUUAACGUGGUGCACUUUAUUUUGCUGUUUAACAACAUUAAAAUUGUGUUUAGGGCAGAACAGUACCGAAUCUAAAAUAUGCAAAUGGGGAUUUUUCUGGAAUUGUUGUUUGUUGUUUCCGGCCUCAGUUAAACUUGCCUAGAUGGGUAGUUUAAUUAUGUUUCACCUCUUGCCAUGUUUAACAACAUUUAAUAUUGUUGUGUACCUAAACGAGAGCGAACUAAAUAACUCGGAUGUGGUGUUUCGUCAAUAUGCAACUCGUUGCAUAUUGAGCUCCACUCAACUUGUAUUAUUGUUUGUUGCACUUUGCCAUGCCAUGCCUCAUUAAACCGGACAUGCAUCAUACUUGUUUGUGCAUCAUGCCAUGAUUAUGCUUGUGUGUUUACCAUGUUGUUUGUUUCUUUCCGGUGUUACUUCUUAGUUCUGGUAAUGUUGUGAUUGUGAGGAUUUGUUCGACUACGCCCGUUCAUCUCCUUCAUGGACUCGUUCUUCUUCCUUGCGGGAUUUCAGGCAAGAUGACCGCUACCCUGGAUCUCACUACUAUCAUUGCUAUGCUAGUUGCUUCAUUCUAUCGCUAUGCUGCGUUACCUAUCCUUUGCUCUUCAAGCCUCCCAAAUUGCCAUGAACCUCUAACCUUUGACACUCUUCCUAGCAAACUGUUGCUUGGCUAUGUUACCGCUUUGCUCAGCCCCUCUUAUAGCGUUGUUAGUUGCAGGUGAAGUUGAAGAUUGCUCCAUGGUGGACAGGGUUUUGGUUGGGAUAUCACAAUAUCUCUUAUAUUAUUAAUGCAUCUAUAUAUUUGGUAAAGGGUGGAAGGCUCGGCCUUAUGCCUGGUGUUUUGUUCCACUCUUGCCGCCCUAGUUUCCGUCAUACCGGUGUUAUGUUCCCGGAUUUUGCGUUCCUUAUGCGGUCGGGUGAUUUAUGGGACCCCCUUGACAGUUCGCUUUGAAUAAAACUCCUCCAGCAAGGCCCAACAUUGGUUUUACCAUUUGCCUCACCNNNNNNNNNNNNNNNNNNNNNNNNNNNNNNNNNNNNNNNNNNNNNNNNNNNNNNNNNNNNNNNNNNNNNNNNNNNNNNNNNNNNNNNNNNNNNNNNNNNNNNNNNNNNNNNNNNNNNNNNNNNNNNNNNNNNNNNNNNNNNNNNNNNNNNNNNNNNNNNNNNNNNNNNNNNNNNNNNNNNNNNNNNNNNNNNNNNNNNNNNNNNNNNNNNNNNNNNNNNNNNNNNNNNNNNNNNNNNNNNNNNNNNNNNNNNNNNNNNNNNNNNNNNNNNNNNNNNNNNNNNNNNNNNNNNNNNNNNNNNNNNNNNNNNNNNNNNNNNNNNNNNNNNNNNNNNNNNNNNNNNNNNNNNNNNNNNNNNNNNNNNNNNNNNNNNNNNNNNNNNNNNNNNNNNNNNNNNNNNNNNNNNNNNNAAGUGUUGGUCCGAACCGGGCAGACUGCGGGGCCACCUCGGGGCAACUCGAGGGUUGGUUUUACUCGUAGGCUGGCCUAUCCAGUGUUGCCCUGAGAACGAGAUAUGUGCAGCUCCUAUCGGGAUUGUCGGCGCAUCGGGCGGCUUUGCUGGUCUUGUUUUACCAUUGUCGAAAUGUCUUGUAAACCGGGAUUCCGAGUCUGAUCGGGUCUUCCUGGGAGAAGGUAUAUCCUUCGUUGAUCGCGAGAGCUUAUCAUGGGCUAAGUUGGGACACCCCUACAGGGUAUAAUCUUUCGAAAGCCGUGCCUGCGGUUAUUGGCAGAUGAGAAUUUGUUAAUGUCCGGUUGUAGAUAACUUGACACCAGAUUCGAAUUAAAACGCAUCAACCGCGUGUGUAGCCGUGAUGGUCUCUUCUCGGCGGAGUCCGGGAAGUGAACACGGUUUAUGGGUUAUGUUUGACGUAAGUAGGAGUUCAGGAUCACUUCUUGAUCAUUGCUAGCUUCACGACCGUUCCUUUUGCUCUCUUCUCGCUCUUAUUUGCGUAUGUUAGCCACCAUAUAUGCUUAGUCGCUGCUGCAACCUCACCACUUUACCCCUUCCUUUCCUAUUAAGCUUUGCUAGUCUUGAUACCCAUGGUAAUGGGAUUGCUGAGUCCUCGUGGCUCACAGAUUACUACAACAACAGUUGCAGGUACAGGUUAUGCUAUGAUCAUGACGCGAGAGCGAUGCUUGCUUGUGUUGGAGUUCUUCUUCUGUUUCUUCUUCGAUCAGGGGAUAGGUUCCAGGUCGGCAGCCUGGGCUAGCAGGGUGCAUGUCGUUUGAGUUUUUGUUUAUGUUUCAUCCGUAGUCGGAUGGUGCUCUAUGUAUUGUGAUGUUGUAUUCGUGUGGCAUUGUAUGCCUCUUGUAGUAUCUCCAUCUAUUAUGUAAUGUUGAUGUAAUGAUAUCCACCUUGCAAAAGCGUUUCAAUAUGCGGGUCUAUCCUUGGUGGGACCUUCGAGUUCCUUUUGAAUAGGGUCGCAUAUUGGGCGUGACAAGUUGGUAUCAGAGCCUCGACCGACCAUAGGAGCCUCCUUGUUUGUUGGCCGUUGUUGAGUCUAGAAGAAAACUAUUUUGAGUCUUAGGAUUAUAUAUAUCGGAGAGUAGGAUUCUUUUUACUCCUCAGCCCCUUCGUCGCUCUUGUGAGGUCUCCUGACGUAGAUGUUUUGUCUUUCCUCUCCUCAAAUUUCACUAAAUUUUUUUAGGAUCACGCGGGUAUCUUGGAAUCGUUACGAUGGUUUUCUGACGAGAACAUUGUUCUUGGUGCCUCCUGUCUAUUAUGUGGCAUUGACCCGGGGAGUUGAGCUCCGAGGUGUUGUCGUCACAAUUUUAUCGUUGCAGUUCUGGAAUACCUGAGUUUUGCCGACAUCGAAAAUCUCUUUUAUGCAGUUGUUGGUGAGAUAACCUCGACGUCACCCAGUACUGGGGAGUUCGGGAGUAUUGCCAUAACUCGUAUAACGGAUGCUUUUAGAAGGUUCAGGUACACGAUUUCCGGAGUUUUCUUGGUUAUGUGUUAACGGAUGGAUACAGCUGGAUGUAGGGAUUGUUAGUGUGGGUGAGAUAUAUUGCUUCCCCUGUAUCCCCAACACCAGAUUGCAUAACCAGAAAGUUUCGGGAGUUUUAUAGGUGGGAAUUCUAGUAGCUCCUAGAAUAUCUUUCCGACAGAUGCAUGAUAUGGGAUUGGGUAAAUCUCUAUCAUAUGUAUUUGUUCCGGCUUAUUCUGCAAGCCAAACCCUUUGUUUUGUUUUAUUUGUGGUAUUUGAGUUGCUUCAAAGUCAAGUGUUGAUUCCAUACCUUUCAAGCGGUGUUCUCAUAUAUCUAUGGGAGUACUAAUCCUUUUGAUCAUUGAGAUUGUCAUGUCAAUUCUUUCCAUCCGGUGCGCUUCUCUUCAAGUGGAUCCGAUCAUUUUCAACAUCCGCAAGAUCAAUUCUAAGUUUUCUCAACGGUAUCCAUUCCAUCUGCCCCAAGUUGCCUUUGUUUUCCCGCCCUCCCACCCUUUUUCUUCAAGGGCCCAGAUUUCUUAAUCAAGUAUCCAUUUAUUCAUGUGAAGUCUCUUCACUCUUUUCAAUCAAUGUUUUGAUCCGGUGAUCCCUCGUGAAGAUGCUCACGAGCUUCAAGUUCAUCAAUCUUCAUUCUCGUAUUCUUUUCCGGUGGAUUUAAUUCAAGCUUUUGGUGUUCAUCAUAUUCCUUUCCUCGUUUCUAAUGCUUUCUCAUGCUGAUGCACCUCUUAAUUGUUCACCUCUCUCUAUUCUUAUCCAGAGUGCUCAAGAUAUCUCAAAAGACUUGUGUUUCCAUUCUCAAUCAGUUCAAGAUAUUUCGAGGUUGUUAUCUCAUUCAAGCCAUUUAAUUCAACCGGUGCAAUCUCUCUUCAAAAUCGUUCAACGGUGUUUUCUUUUGAGUGGGCCCUAACCCACAGGUCUUUUCCCAGGAUCUUACCUGACUCUUCUAAUUUUCCUAGAGCUUCUAAAAUUCAUUUCCAAGUUUGAUGUAAGAAUGAAUUUUCAUCAGUCACAUGCCUUCUCCAAGGUCGCUUUCAAAUUAUUUUCAUCUUUGGCUCAACCUUUCCUCUUUUAAUCCUUCCGGAGUUUCUCAACAAUUUGGUGGUGGUUCUCGUCAUCAUUCUCAACAUGUGAAGACCGAAGAAGUGUUUCCUCUAAAUCUUGGUCCAUUCUCUUAAAGAUUCAUGGUUCUAGCUUCAUGCUAUCCUCAUAAUUGUUUUGAUUGUGAGAUUUCUAUUCUUACCAUCCGGAGCAUUUCAUGAGUUGUUUCCAGUUCUUUCCUCCGAAGGUCAUCAUGUCUUAAUUCUUCAUUCGCAACGUGUAGCUAUCAUUCUCCAAAUCUUACCGGUGCAUCGCUCAAAUAUCCUCUAAUUAGUUCAUGAUUCCUUUGUUCUCAUGUAUCUAAAUCCCCUCAAGUAUCUUCAUUCGUUUUCAAAUUCUUCCCGGUGAAUUGUGCCUUUGCUACUUUCAUUUUCUAUUCUUACGGUGGUUCGUUCAAGAUUUCUCUUCCUUCGUCAUCGUAUCAAUUCAUUCAUUCAUUCGUUGUUUCCAAAUCCCACCGGUGGUUCCAUCAAUACCUUCUCAAGUUUGCGCUAUAUCUCUCUUAAUCCUUUCUACGAGAAUAAGUAGUAUGCCAAAUCCGUUGCUUGUCAUCAAUUAAAUUUGAUGAAGGAUAAGCAUACAAUAAAUCUUAUUCUUAUUUCCUCGAGGUGGCUCAAUUCUUUUUACGGAGAUUAUUCAUGAUGAAUAAAUUCUUGAUUACAAGUGAUUCAUCUUUCUUUCCGGAGUUGGUCAUCAUAUCACAUUCUCGGUUUGAGAGGCUUCAUCUUUCUUUUUGGAGUUCCAAGCUCUCUCAAUUAUCUCGUCGCGAAGCUCCAUCUAAAUCAUUGCAAGGGUUCACCUUGUGUUUUCAACCUCUCUUUCUUCCUAUCAUCCUUUUAUUACUGGAGUUCUUCAUGGAGGCUCUACAUGGUGGUUCACAAGGAUUCUUUUCAUUCUUCAAGUGUUCUUCAAGAUUUCUCUCGAAUCUAUGACCCGCCAAGUUAUACUCAAAAAUAAACAUGGUGCCCAACACAUGUUUUAUUUUGAGGAGUUCAAGUAUUCUUCAUCUUGCAUUUUGAGGUGCAAUUCUCCUACCUUAUCUUUUGAGAUGGUGUUAUAUCAUUCUUGACAGUUUCCCUUCAAGUUUUUUGAUUCACAAGUUGUCAAGAAUGAGAUAUUGUGAAACCAUCAUUUUCUCUUUGAUCAUGAAUUGUUUCAACCCAUAUUAAUCUCUUCGUUGGAGUUAUAUUGUGUCAUAUUUCACCUAAAGCCUUCCCUAAGAAAUGUUGCUAUUGUGGUGCUUAUCAAUGAUCCAAGUUUUCUCCUAUCCUCUCGGCGAAAGCAGUUUUCAUCUCUUCGUUGAUCUCAAGCAAGCAAUUGUUUCAGUUAGUGGCCGGUUGUCACCUCAUCAUUUUGAGAUGUUUGCCAUAAGCCCACAACAAGCUUGUGCUUUUCGUUGUUGAUUUUGCAACAACUUCGUUCAAUUCUUCUUUGCAAGGAUGCUUUCCAAGUUCAUUUGUGGCAUAAGUUGGCAUUUUCUUCUCCGUUCUGUUAUUCCAAUGAUCUAUCUUCUAUUCUUUCUUCUGGAGGCAUUGUGAUGUUGCUCUCUUCACCCAUCACCUCGUUUUUUCAAGAUCAUGUUAUUCUCUUGCUUAUCCAUUUAAUCGGAGUGUUGUGUCAUCUCUUCAAGUUCUUUCAUGUUAUCAAGUUUUGCAUCUCUUUUCAACCGGAGUGUUGUCCGAACUUGAUCUUCCUUAUUCCUUGUUUAUCUUGUUUCAACCAGAGUGGUUCCAAUUCCUUCUUGUCCAUUGUACUCGUCAUUCAUAGCUUUGCAACCUCCAAGGUUCACAUGGUGUUCCUUGUUUCUAUUUUUCUACCGCAGUGCUCUCAAUUGUGUUCAACUCUGUUGUGUUCUUUCUUUCAACUUUUCAACCUCUCAAGGUUCGUGGUUUUACUCAUUGGUCGAAGAAGCAACUUAGUUUACCUCUUCUCUUCCUCUUCCGUUUCUCUCCGGUGCCAUCCUAGAUCUCGGGACGAGAUCCUGUCGUAGUGGUGGAGUGUUGUAACGCCCCGGAUACAACUUUCCAUAUUCGUAACUCCAACUCUUGCCUUUUCCGGAGAUGCGAUAUGAUAUUUCCUUCGUGGUUGGGUUUUGUCUGUUGUUUUGCAUUUUGUUCUUGUUCUGCAUCUCGUCUCAUGUCAUCAUUCGCAUUGCAUCGGCAUCGUUUUCAUACAACUUGCAUCCGUUCGGGUUCUCCCGGUUCUCUCCGUUGUCCGUUCUGAGCACAGACACACUCGCACGCGCCCGCGGCACCUCUGAAAUAUUAUUUUAUAAGUGGCAUAAAAAUGUUCUCGGAAUGGGAUGCAACUUGGCGUGCGGUCUUAUUAUAGUGUAGAGAGACCACCUGUCAAGUUUCGUUGCAUUCGGAGUCCGUUUGACUGCCCAACCGUUAAACAUAUAGCGGCACCGUUGCCGGUGUUUUCGCCGGACGUUUUGGUCUCCGGAACAGUUGCCGGGCCUCACUUCUCUUCUCUCCUCUCAGCCGAGGCCUCUCUUCACAGCCCACCUAGACCCCCUAUGUCCGGAGUUGCACGAUCGCGAUCGUAUGGCUCGAAAACCCCUCCAAACCCUAAUCUUAACCUCCUGCCCUAUUUAAACCACCUUCCCCUUCCAAUUUUGGCAGCCUUCCCCCCUCCUCCACUUUUUCCGCACCACCCAACCCGCAGCCACCUCCUCCCACCUCGGGGGCCGUGCCGCCGCCUUCCCCCCUUCCAGAUCCGGCGCGCCCCAGCCUCCCUCCACCACUUGUCAAGCCCCUAGUGGCCAGCCACCACCACAUCGUCGCCUCCAACCACUCUGGGAGCGCCACAUGGCCUCGCCGCGUCCUCCCCGCCGCCGAGGCCCACGGAAGGCCGCAACUGGCCCGCCCCGGGCCGCAUCUGGGCUCGACGCGCCCACUCCCCCGCAACCGUGCCGUCUCCCUGCUCGCUCGAGCGAUCCAGAUCGGGAGAGGAGCUCCCGAUCCAGAUCGUGCCUCGCCGCCGCCUCUGGCCGAAGCCAUCUCGCCGCCGUCUCGCCGCCCCGGCGGACCCAGGUCGCUGCCGCCCGGUCUCUCUCUCCCUUCCCUUUCUCCUUCCUCCCCUCACCAGCUCUCUCUCCCCCGCAGCUAGCCGCCGCCAUGAACGCCUCCACCGAGCUCCGCCAUGGGCAUCACCACCUCACCGCCGGCCUCCUUCCGCUAGAUCCGGGUAGGGGAUGGUCGGAUCCAUCCAUCCCUAACCUCCCGCCGACCCCUACAACACCGGAGCGUUGCCCCGCCGCCGGUCUCCACCACGUCGACCUCCUACCUCGUCCUCGUUCGGGCAGAGGACGAGGGCAUCCUCCUUGCGCACGUGGGCCAGCGCGUCGCCCUGCUGGUGGGUCACCCCACCUCCAAGGCCCACGUCGCCUCGGCUCAGCCCCGACCGGCCUCAAGGCCCGAUGUGAGCAGCUCCCCGACGCCUGGGCCAGAUCUCAGAUUCGGCCCAGCGUAGUUUUUUUUUCGUUCUGCGAUUUGCUAAUUAUCCAGAUUUUGCAUAUUUACAGAUUAACCCUCCAUGUUCAUGCAUAUAAUAACUCAUGAACCGUGCAUCGGAUUUAAAUAAUUUAUAUAUGUAAAAUGCUUAGAAUUUUGUGUAGAUUAAUAAUAUGCUGCUUGCAUCCAUGUUUAAAAUGUUGUUUGCAUUUAAUUUGCUCAAAUGCCAUGCUAAAAUGAUUUAUUUCAUAACUAAAUAACCGUAGCUCGGAAUUUAAUAAACUUUAUAUGUAAAUGGGGUGGAAAAAUGCCUAGAUUAACAUGGUGCACUUUAUUUUGCUGUUUAACAACAUUAAAAUUGUGUUUAGGGCAAAACAGUACCGAAUCUAAAAUAUGCACAUGGGGAUUUUUCCGGAAUUGUUGUUUGUUGUUUCCGGCCUCACUUAAACUUGCCUAGAUAGGUAGUUUAAUUAUGUUUCACCUCUUGCCAUGUUUAACAACAUUUAAUAUUGUUGUGUACCUAAACGAGAGCGAACUAAAUAACUCGGAUGUGGUGUUUCGUCAAUAUGCAACUCGUUGCAUAUUGAGCUCCACUUAACUUGUAUUAUUGUUUGUUGCACUUUGCCAUGCCAUGCCUCAUUAAACCGGACAUGCAUCAUACUUGUUUGUGCAUCAUGCCAUGAUUAUGCUUGUGUGUUUACCAUGUUGUUUGUUUCUUUCCGGUGUUUCUUCUUAGUUCCGGUAAUGUUGCGAUUGUGAGGAUUUGUUCGACUACGCCCGUUCAUCUCCUUCAUGGACUCGUUCUUCUUCCUUGCGCGAUUUCAGGCAAGAUGACCGCUACCCUGGAUCUCACUACUAUCAUUGCUAUGCUAGUUGCUUCGUUCUAUCGCUAUGCUGCAUUACCUAUCUUUUGCUCUUCAAGCCUCCCAAAUUGCCAUGAACCUCUAACCUUUGACACUCUUCCUAGCAAACUGUUGCUUGGCUAUGUUACCGCUUUGCUCAGCCCCUCUUAUAGCAUUGUUAGUUACAGGUGAAGUUGAAGAUUGCUCCAUGGUGGAUAGGGUUUUGGUUGGGAUAUCACAAUAUCUCUUAUAUUAUUAAUGCAUCUAUAUAUUUGGUAAAGGGUGGAAGGCUCGGCCUUAUGCCUGGUGUUUUGUUCCACUCUUGCCGCCCUAGUUUCCGUCAUACCGGUGUUAUGUUCCCGGAUUUUGCAUUCCUUACGCGGUCGGGUGAUUUAUGGGACCCCCUUGACAGUUCGCUUUGAAUAAAACUCCUCCAGCAAGGCCCAACAUUGACUUUUACCAUUUGCCUCACCACCACCUAUAUUUCCCUUGGGAGUAAUUAACCCAAGGGUCAUCUUUUUUUAGCCCCCCCCGGGCCAGUGCUUGUCUAAGUGUUGGUCCGAAUUGGGCAGACUGCGGGGCCACCUCGGGGCAACUCGAGGGUUGGUUUUACUCGUAGGCUGACCUAUCCGGUGUUGCCCUGAGAACGAGAUAUGUGCAGCUCCUAUCGGGAUUGUCGGCGCAUCGGGCGGCUUUGCUAGUCUUGUUUUACCAUUGUCGAAAUGUCUUGUAAACCGGGAUUCCGAGUCUGAUCGGGUCUUCCUGGGAGAAGAUAUAUCCUUCAUUGAUCACGAGAGCUUAUCAUGGGCUAAGUUGGGACACCCCUGCAGGGUAUAAUCUUUCGAAAGCCGUGCCUGCGGUUAUUGGCAGAUGAGAAUUUGUUAAUGUCCGGUUGUAGAUAACUUGACACCAGAUUCGAAUUAAAACGCAUCAACCGCGUGUGUAGCCGUGAUGGUCUCUUCUCGGCGGAGUCCGGGAAGUGAACACGGUUUAUGGGUUAUGUGUGACGUAAAUAGGAGUUCGGGAUCACUUCUUGAUCAUUGCUAGCUUCACGACCGUUCCUUUUGCUCUCUUCUCGCUCUUAUUUGUGUAUGUUAGCCACCAUAUAUGCUUAGUCGCUGCUGCAACCUCACCACUUUACCCCUUCCUUUCCUAUUAAGCUUUGCUAGUCUUGAUACCCAUGGUAAUGGGAUUGCUGAGUCCUCGUGGCUCACAGAUUACUACAACAACAGUUGCAGGUACAUGUUAUGCGAUGAUCAUGACGCGAGAGCGAUGCUUGCUUGCGUUGGAGUUCUUCUUCUGUUUCUUCUUCGAUCAGGGGAUAGGUUCCAAGUCGGCAGCCUGGGCUAGCAGGGUGGAUGUCGUUUGAGUUUCUGUUUGUGUUUCAUCCGUAGUCGGUUGGUGCUCUAUGUAUUGUGAUGUUGUAUUCGUGUGGCAUUGUAUGCCUCUUGUAUGUAUCCCCAUCUAUUAUGUAAUGUUGAUGUAAUGAUAUCCACCUUGCAAAAGCGUUUCAAUAUGCGGGUCUAUCCUUGGUGGGACCUUCGAGUUCCUUUUGGAUAGGGUCGCAUAUUGGGCGUGACAUCUCUAGACCAAUAAGUCCCUGGAAACAAACACCGUCUACGUGUGUGUCGUGGGGUUAGUGGCUGGUGUGAUGGCCGGGUCGUGUGUGUGUGUCUGGGUAUAAAAAGCCCUCCCAUGUAUUGAUUGAGGUGCGCCCGUUUGUUGCCGCGCCACGGUGACGGUAUGUGCCGAACCGAGGGGAAGGGGCCUAAGGAAGAUGUAGUCUUCAUCGGGACCGUGGUAUGCGCCUGGUUGAUGUGAGAGUUCUUCCGGGGUUGUGCUGCGUGUGUGUACCUCCAUGUAUGUGUGUUUGAGUAGUUGAGUUGAAUAGAAGCCAACAUACAGGCCGUUCGGCGGCCGGGGCGUUCGUCGCCGGAAAAUUCCGUUCAUCUUCUUCUACCUUCGUCCGGCGGUCGUCGUCGGAGGGCGGUUCGGCGUAUGUCCCCGGUGGGUUUGUCCCAACAUUUGGUAUCAUGAGCUUCGUUGUCUUGGGCGUCGUUCUCCUUGCCGGAGGAGUGCCGGCAGUGGCGGAGUUCGCCGGCGGCUGCGCGGUGCUCCGGGCCGUGUGUCGGCCUAUGGAGGUGCGCGGCGCUGCGACAGCGCGGCGAGGAGGCCGCGGAGGUCCUGCUUGGUGGCGCAGAGGCCGCGAAGGCGCGGCGGCUUUGUGUAGCACGGCGUCGGCCGCCCGAGCGCGUCGGCGUCGACGACGUGUGUUGCAGGCAGUGAAGGGAAUUGGCGUGCAUCGCCGGACACGAAGAAGAAGAAGAUGCAGCAGGGUUCACGUCUGAGAGGCUGUAGCGGCUGCCAUGGUGGCAACGACGACGGGAGCUGCAGCGAGGACAACAACGACGAUGUCAUGGCUUAGGAGGUGAGUGUUGGCAUAAGCCAUGCCAUGUGCGGUGGUGACUGGCGUUGGGCGCGCCAAGUGUGUGUCCGUGUAUGCGUGGGAGAGGCCGCCCGAGUCGUGUGUGCUGUGACAGUUCGUGCAUGCAUGUAGCUGGAUUAGUGGUCGCAGGUGGUGACCGAGCCACACGGGUCAUACGUGCAUCUAGUCUAGGUAGUUAGUAUAUGGAUGCAUGCAUGGGUGGUUAGCGUGUUAGCCGGCCAGUGGUGGUUGGAUUACUACAUGUGUGUCGUGGGGUUAGUGGCCGGUGCGAUGGCCGGGUCGUGUGUGCGCGUCCGGGUAUAAAAAGGCCUCCCAUGUAUUGAUGGAGGUGCGCCGGUUUGUUGCCGCGCCACGGUGACGGUAUGUGCCGAGCCGAGGGGGAGGGGCCUAAGAAAAAUGUAGU
Molecule: long non-coding RNA, 17714 nt
Filed under: Triticum aestivum (bread wheat)
Lineage: Eukaryota; Viridiplantae; Streptophyta; Magnoliopsida; Poales; Poaceae
Description: long non-coding RNA (TAES_LNC003689)
Source: RNAcentral